CUGGCGGCAGGCCUAACACAUGCAAGUCGAACGGUAGCACAGAGGAGCUUGCUCCUUGGGUGACGAGUGGCGGACGGGUGAGUAAUGUCUGGGAAACUGCCCGAUGGAGGGGGAUAACUACUGGAAACGGUAGCUAAUACCGCAUAACGUCGCAAGACCAAAGAGGGGGACCUUCGGGCCUCUUGCCAUCGGAUGUGCCCAGAUGGGAUUAGCUAGUAGGUGGGGUAACGGCUCACCUAGGCGACGAUCCCUAGCUGGUCUGAGAGGAUGACCAGCCACACUGGAACUGAGACACGGUCCAGACUCCUACGGGAGGCAGCAGUGGGGAAUAUUGCACAAUGGGCGCAAGCCUGAUGCAGCCAUGCCGCGUGUAUGAAGAAGGCCUUCGGGUUGUAAAGUACUUUCAGCGAGGAGGAAGGCGUUGUGGUUAAUAACCGCAACGAUUGACGUUACUCGCAGAAGAAGCACCGGCUAACUCCGUGCCAGCAGCCGCGGUAAAAGGG
Molecule: ribosomal RNA, 503 nt
Filed under: uncultured Enterobacterales bacterium
Lineage: Bacteria; Pseudomonadati; Pseudomonadota; Gammaproteobacteria; Enterobacterales
Description: bacterial SSU rRNA
Rfam family: Bacterial small subunit ribosomal RNA
Source: RNAcentral